This is a long non-coding RNA of Populus euphratica (Euphrates poplar), 310 nucleotides long. RefSeq lists it as uncharacterized. Lineage: Eukaryota; Viridiplantae; Streptophyta; Magnoliopsida; Malpighiales; Salicaceae. The transcript is spliced from 3 exons. The record is from RefSeq and is a predicted model, not a curated record.
AGAGAAAAGAGAGAAAUUAGAAGAAAAAUAGAAAGGAGUUGAAGGAAAUAAGUUUAAAGAUAAUCAUGAUAUUCUCCCGGCAGGACGUCAGUAGGAUUUUCUUCGGUGUUUGCUUUUGAUUUCUGUUUGCUUUCGAGUCAGGCUUAUAGCUUGAUAGCAGGUCACUUUUGUUGGACCUUCAGAACCUGCUCUUUUGGUUGUAAUCCGUGCAUUUUCCUUUAUCUCUAAUUAGUGCUCCAAAACUAUAAAAUUAUAUUAACUCUUGUAUUAAGACAAUUCAAUUAUAUUAUGAAGUUGAUUUUGUUAUUAA